This 497-nucleotide ribosomal RNA is filed under the name uncultured bacterium. Its description in RNAcentral is "partial 16S ribosomal RNA". It matches the Rfam family "Bacterial small subunit ribosomal RNA", at positions 28 to 507 of the family's 1533-position model. The record is from RNAcentral.
GAUGAACGCUGGCGGCGUGCCUAAUACAUGCAAGUCGAGCGAACAGACGAGGAGCUUGCUCCUCUGACGUUAGCGGCGGACGGGUGAGUAACACGUGGAUAACCUACCUAUAAGACUGGGAUAACUUCGGGAAACCGGAGCUAAUACCGGAUAAUAUAUUGAACCGCAUGGUUCAAUAGUGAAAGACGGUUUUGCUGUCACUUAUAGAUGGAUCCGCGCCGCAUUAGCUAGUUGGUAAGGUAACGGCUUACCAAGGCGACGAUGCGUAGCCGACCUGAGAGGGUGAUCGGCCAAACUGGAACUGAGAAACGGUCCAGACUCCUACGGGAGGCAGCAGUAGGGAAUCUUCCGCAAUGGGCGAAAGCCUGACGGAGCAACGCCGCGUGAGUGAUGAAGGUCUUCGGAUCGUAAAACUCUGUUAUUAGGGAAGAACAAAUGUGUAAGUAACUAUGCACGUCUUGACGGUACCUAAUCAGAAAGCCACGGCUAACUACGUG